AGUGAACGCUGGCGGUAGGCCUAACACAUGCAAGUCGAACGGCAGCACAGUAAGAGCUUGCUCUUACGGGUGGCGAGUGGCGGACGGGUGAGGAAUACAUCGGAAUCUACUUUUUCGUGGGGGAUAACGUAGGGAAACUUACGCUAAUACCGCAUACGACCUACGGGUGAAAGCAUGGGAUCUUCGGACCUUGCGCGAUUGAAUGCGCCGAUGUCGGAUUAGCUAGUUGGCGGGGUAAAGGCCCACCAAGGCGACGAUCCGUAGCUGGUCUGAGAGGCUGAUCAGCGACACGGGAACUGGACCACGGUCAAGACUCCUACGGGAGGCAGCAGUGGGGAAUAUUGGACAAUGGGCGGAAGCCUGAUCCAGCCAUACCGCGUGGGUGAAGAAGGCCUUCGGGUUGUAAAGACCUUUUGUUGGGAAAGAAAAGCAGCAGGUUAAUACCCAGCUGUUCUGACGGUAACCAAAGAAUAAGCACCGGCUAACUUCGUG
RNAcentral lists this ribosomal RNA (492 nucleotides) under uncultured bacterium. RNAcentral describes it as "partial 16S ribosomal RNA". It matches the Rfam family "Bacterial small subunit ribosomal RNA", at positions 29 to 507 of the family's 1533-position model. The record is from RNAcentral.